CUCUCUCUCUCUCUCUCUAGUUCUAUUCCACUUGGAGUUGAAGUUAGCAAUUAUGCCAACAUGUUUUGCUAACUAGCUACCAACUCAAAUCAUUUAAUGGUGAUUCGUGAUGGAACCCUAGUUGCAAAAAUUAAUAAAAUUGGCUGCUAUUGAAGAACUUUUUAAAUUAUAAAACUUUAGUCAUUAGCUCGAUAUUAUUAUGGUUAGGAAUUAGGGGAAUGGAAAGUGAGGAUUACUUUCAAGUGGCUGUGUUUCAGAUUACUUGUUAUUUUGUUUGUUACAAUAUAAGAUUUAACUGGCCCUUUGGAGAUUGGUUUAGCAUUUUCUUUGAUUUUUUUUUUUCUUCCUUUUAUUUGUUAGGAAUGCUGUAUAUGUCUCU
RNAcentral lists this unclassified non-coding RNA (379 nucleotides) under Hevea brasiliensis (rubber tree). Lineage: Eukaryota; Viridiplantae; Streptophyta; Magnoliopsida; Malpighiales; Euphorbiaceae. The record is from RNAcentral.